ACUCAAGGUGGUUUAAAAUAGAUACUGUAAUUAGACUGUUUAAUGCAAUAGUUCGACCUCGCCUUGAGUAUGGAGCUAUAAUAUGGUCACCUCAAGAAAAGGUUAAUUGUAACAACAUUGAAAAAAUUCAGAAGCAAUUUUUAAGGUGACUGAAACUCUCUGAUCAAAAUCAACAUCACUUCUCUGGUAUAGUAAUUUGCGUAUUCGGCGUCCAUGAGAGGAAUUAAGUAACCGAUAGCCUUAAGGAAGGCGGCUAAACCUUUACCACGGUGAGUUCUGAUACCUAAAAAACACAUUUACCCAUAUAUUAAUAUGAAUACUGGUUAUUUAAUUUAGUUCUCGUUUAUGUACCUUUCCACAAAGGUUUCAAUACAGAAUCGAAACUUUCAAUACCGUAAGGGGUAGCUGCUUCGGCCAAAGCGGCAAUUCCCAAGGCCGUAAUAGUUCUUACUUUUUGCUGUUCAUCCACAAGUCCGUGUUCGAUAAUCUCUACUAAUGAUUUUAAAUGCGGCAAGAUGGCGCAACCCAUAAGAAUUGCAAUUUGCUGGACGAUUUUAAUACCGGUGUGUCUCGCCUGCCAAGAUUUCUUUGAGCGACAUACCGCUUUCAAGAAAGGAAGUAGAGAUGGAAUACCUAGAAGCAAAUUGUGCGUUUUAGUUAUAAAACAAGAAACAGAUUUAUAAAGUAUUAAAUAAAUAGACGGCUUGUCCUA
This is a long non-coding RNA of Anthonomus grandis grandis, 712 nucleotides long. RefSeq lists it as uncharacterized. NCBI's taxonomy places the organism in Eukaryota, Metazoa, Arthropoda, Insecta, Coleoptera, Curculionidae. The record is from RefSeq and is a predicted model, not a curated record. The transcript is spliced from 2 exons.